GGAUCCACGCUGACGGCCGACCUGGACAGAAGACGGAGCAUUAGAACGACAGCUAAAAGGUACAGGUGUGGAGCAGAGAGCAGCUAAUAGGUACAGAUGUGGAGCAGAGAGCAGCUAAAAGGUACAGGUGUGGAGCAGAGAGCAGCUAAUAGGUACAGGUGUGGAGCAGAGAGCAGCUAAAAGGUACAGGUGUGGAGCAGACUGCAGCUAAUAGGUACAGGUGUGGAGCAGAGAGCAGCUAAAAGGUACAGGUGUGGAGCAGAGAGCAGCUAAAAGGUACAGGUGUGGAGCAGAGAGCAGCUAAUAGGUACAGGUGUGGAGCAGAGAGCAGCUAAUAGGUACAGGUGUGGAGCAGAGAGCAGCUAAUAGGUACAGGUGUGGAGCAGAGAGCAGCUAAUAGGUACAGGUGUGGAGCAGACUGCAGCUAAAAGGUACAGGUGUGGAGCAGACUGCAGCUAAAAGGUACAGGUGUGGAGCAGAGAGCAGCUAAAAGGUACAGGUGUGGAGCAGACUGCAGCUAAAAGGUACAGGUGUGGAGCAGAGAGCAGCUAAAAGGUACAGGUGUGGAGCAGAGAGCAGCUAAAAGGUACAGGUGUGGAGCAGAGAGCAGCUAAUAGGUACAGGUGUGGAGCAGACUGCAGCUAAUAGGUACAGGUGUGGAGCAGACUGCAGCUAAAAGGUACAGGUGUGGAGCAGAGAGCAGCUAAUAGGUACAGGUGUGGAGCAGAGAGCAGCUAAUAGGUACAGGUGUGGAGCAGACUGCAGCUAAUAGGUACAGGUGUGGAGCAGACUGCAGCUAAUAGGUACAGGUGUGGAGCAGACUGCAGCUAAAAGGUACAGGUGUGGAGCAGAGAGCAGCUAAAAGGUACAGGUGUGGAGCAGACUGCAGCUAAUAGGUACAGGUGUGGAGCAGACUGCAGCUAAUAGGUACAGGUGUGGAGCAGAGAGCAGCUAAUAGGUACAGGUGUGGAGCAGAGAGCAGCUAAUAGGUACAGGUGUGGAGCAGAGAGCAGCUAAUAGGUACAGGUGUGGAGCAGAGAGCAGCUAAUAGGUACAGGUGUGGAGCAGAGAGCAGCUAAAAGGUACAGGUGUGGAGCAGAGAGCAGCUAAAAGGUACAGGUGUGGAGCAGACUACAGCUAAUAGGUACAGGUGUGGAGCAGACUGCAGCUAAAAGGUACAGGUGUGGAGCAGAGAGCAGCUAAAAGGUACAGGUGUGGAGCAGACUGCAGCUAAAAGGUACAGGUGUGGAGCAGACUGCAGCUAAAAGGUACAGGUGUGGAGCAGAGAGCAGCUAAAAGGUACAGGUGUGGAGCAGAGAGCAGCUAAUAGGUACAGGUGUGGAGCAGAGAGCAGCUAAAAGGUACAGGUGUGGAGCAGAGAGCAGCUAAAAGGUACAGGUGUGGAGCAGAGAGCAGCUAAAAGGUACAGGUGUGGAGCAGAGAGCAGCUAAUAGGUACAGGUGUGGAGCAGAGAGCAGCUAAAAGGUACAGGUGUGGAGCAGAGAGCAGCUAAAAGGUACAGGUGUGGAGCAGAGAGCAGCUAAAAGGUACAGGUGUGGAGCAGAGAGCAGCUAAAAGGUACAGGUGUGGAGCAGAGAGCAGCUAAUAGGUACAGGUGUGGAGCAGAGAGCAGGUAGAAAGCAUGAAACCUGCUCUCUGCUGUUUAUAGUUCCACUCCAUCGUCCAGUUUCUAGAUUAUUUAUCGUCUCACUUUUUGAUCCUUCAAGUUCAGAUUAUUG
This is a long non-coding RNA of Acanthochromis polyacanthus (spiny chromis), 1739 nucleotides long. RefSeq lists it as uncharacterized. NCBI's taxonomy places the organism in Eukaryota, Metazoa, Chordata, Actinopteri, Pomacentridae. The record is from RefSeq and is a predicted model, not a curated record. The transcript is spliced from 11 exons.